UAGGGAAUCUUCGGCAAUGGACGGAAGUCUGACCGAGCAACGCCGCGUGAGUGAAGAAGGUUUUCGGAUCGUAAAGCUCCGUUGUAAGAGAAGAACGAGUGUGAGAGUGGAAAGUUCACACUGUGACGGUAUCUUACCAGAAAGGGACGGCUAACUACGUGCCAGCAGCCGCGGUAAUACGUAGGUCCCGAGCGUUGUCCGGAUUUAUUGGGCGUAAAGCGAGCGCAGGCGGUUAGAUAAGUCUGAAGUUAAAGGCUGUGGCUUAACCAUAGUAGGCUUUGGAAACUGUUUAACUUGAGUGCAAGAGGGGAGAGUGGAAUUCCAUGUGUAGCGGUGAAAUGCGUAGAUAUAUGGAGGAACACCGGUGGCGAAAGCGGCUCUCUGGCUUGUAACUGACGCUGAGGCUCGAAAGCGUGGGGAGCAAACAGGAUUAGAUACCCUGGUAGUCCACGCUGUAAACGAUGAGUGCUAGGUGUUAGACCCUUUCCGGGGUUUAGUGCCGUAGCUAACGCAUUAAGCACUCCGCCUGGGGAGUACGACCGCAAGGUUG
Molecule: ribosomal RNA, 550 nt
Filed under: uncultured bacterium
Lineage: Bacteria
Description: bacterial SSU rRNA
Rfam family: Bacterial small subunit ribosomal RNA
Source: RNAcentral